RNAcentral lists this ribosomal RNA (738 nucleotides) under uncultured bacterium. Its description in RNAcentral is "bacterial SSU rRNA". It matches the Rfam family "Bacterial small subunit ribosomal RNA", at positions 104 to 828 of the family's 1533-position model. The record is from RNAcentral.
GGGUGAGUAACACGUGGGUAACCUGCCCUAAAGUCUGGGAUACCACUUGGAAACAGGUGCUAAUACCGGAUAACAACAAUAGCUGCAUGGCUAUUGCUUAAAAGGCGGCGAAAGCUGUCGCUAAAGGAUGGACCCGCGGUGCAUUAGCUAGUUGGUAAGGUAAUGGCUUACCAAGGCGACGAUGCAUAGCCGAGUUGAGAGACUGAUCGGCCACAUUGGGACUGAGACACGGCCCAAACUCCUACGGGAGGCAGCAGUAGGGAAUCUUCCACAAUGGGCGAAAGCCUGAUGGAGCAACGCCGCGUGAGUGAAGAAGGUUUUCGGAUCGUAAAGCUCUGUUGUUGGUGAAGAAGGAUAGAGGUAGUAACUGGCCCCUAUUUGACGGUAAUCAACCAGAAAGUCACGGCUAACUACGUGCCAGCAGCCGCGGUAAUACGUAGGUGGCAAGCGUUGUCCGGAUUUAUUGGGCGUAAAGCGAGCGCAGGCGGAAAGAUAAGUCUGAUGUGAAAGCCCCCGGCUUAACCGAGGAAUUGCAUCGGAAACUGUGUUUCUUGAGUGCAGAAGAGGAGAGUGGAACUCCAUGUGUAGCGGUGGAAUGCGUAGAUAUAUGGAAGAACACCAGUGGCGAAGGCGGCUCUCUGGUCUGUAACUGACGCUGAGGCUCGAAAGCAUGGGUAGCGAACAGGAUUAGAUACCCUGGUAGUCCAUGCCGUAAACGAUGAGUGCUAAGUGUUGGGA